AAAAAGAUUAGAGUAGUAAUAGUUAAAUCUUAAAACUUAAAAAAUUUGGCGGUAUUUUAUUCUAUUCAGAGGAACUUGUUUUAUAAUUGAUAAUCCCCAAUGUAUCUUACUUAAUUUUGCUAAAUUUGUAUAUCGUUGUCAUAAGAAUAUUUUAAUUAAAAAAUAAUAUUCAAUAUAAUAUAUAAUUUAUUAUGUCAGAUCAAGGUGCAGUUUAUAAUUAAGAAAAAAUGAGUUACAAUUAAGAAGAUUAAUAACGAAUUAUUAAUUGAAAAAUUAAUAUAAAGGUGGAUUUGAUAGUAAAUUUUUAAAGAUUAUAAAGUUGAUUU
This 326-nucleotide ribosomal RNA is filed under the name Lyprauta cambria. RNAcentral describes it as "partial 12S ribosomal RNA". The record is from RNAcentral. Lineage: Eukaryota; Metazoa; Arthropoda; Insecta; Diptera; Keroplatidae.